UAUGUGAUCGUCUCUCGCAUAUCAAUAAGCGGAGGAAAAGAAACUAACAAGGAUUCCCCUAGUAACGGCGAGUGAAGCGGGAAGAGCUCAAAUUUGAAAUCUUAAAGGGUUUCCCUUUACGAAUUGUAGUUUAAAGAAGUGUUUUCUGUUGAGGUUUUGGUAAAAGUUCUUUGGAAUAGGACAGUCAUAGAGGGUGAGAAUCCCGUAUUUGACCUUUACUUUCAACUUUGUGAUACACUUUCAAAGAGUCGGAUUGUUUGGGAAUGCAGUCCAAAAUGGGUGGUAAAUUUCAUCUAAAGCUAAAUAUUGGCGAGAGACCGAUAGCGAACAAGUACCGUGAGGGAAAGAUGAAAAGAACUUUGAAAAGAGAGUUAAACAGUACGUGAAAUUGUCAAAAGGGAAGCGUUUGACACCAGUGUUGUUUUUCUGAAAAUCAAUUAAAGAACUGUUUAUGCUAAGCUGUUUAGACUUUAUCAGCUAUCUGUUUAGUUUUGAGCUUUUCUUUAAUGCACUUUUCAGUUAACAAGUCAACAUCAAUUUCUUUUGCUGUAAAAAAGCUUGAGGAAGGUGGCUUGAGAUUCGUCUUAAGUGUUUAUAGCCUCUUGCCUAUGCAGUCGGAGAGAUUGAGGUCUGCAGCGUAGAUCCUUCGGGGCUAAAUGCAUUUGUGCUAAGUUAUAGCAUUUUAUAGACAACUUGUUGACUAUGAUUUGUCUUGUAGCUUACUCGCUUAUGUUAUUUUACCUACGCUUAGGAUGUUGAGCGCAUGUCUCUCUCU
RNAcentral lists this ribosomal RNA (775 nucleotides) under uncultured Neocallimastigales. Its description in RNAcentral is "partial large subunit ribosomal RNA". It matches the Rfam family "Eukaryotic large subunit ribosomal RNA", at positions 24 to 616 of the family's 3401-position model. The record is from RNAcentral. Lineage: Eukaryota; Fungi; Neocallimastigomycota; Neocallimastigomycetes; Neocallimastigales.